AUUAAUCAAACCGGCCGGCGGGGCGGGGCUACAGGGGUCGGGGCUUCCGCCUGGCCCCGCCCUCGCCCCCGUCGCGGUUCACUUUGAGCCGAGCCUGCACGUCCUGCCUGUCGAGCGUCCGCGGUGUUGAAGGCCCGCCGAGUUGCCGCGCCUCGCCGCGGUUCUUCAGCCGCGGACCCAAUCUGAGCGAGGGCGCCUCUUAGGCAGACGCAGAGCUGAGGCGGGAACCCUGGCGUUUUGUGGAGAGUGACUUUUAAUUUUCUGAGGAAAUGUGAAGUGUGCCGUUGCCAUGCGCUAACCUAUUAUUCUACCACCAAGAUGCCCUUGGCACAGUCAUCUACUCACUAGUGGACCACCCAUCAUCAACUGGGCCUCAGGCUCCUUUGAUAUGAUCCCUGCUCAUUUAGACAUCUUUACCUGCUGUUUCUGGGACUGUCCUGAGUCAUUUGCCCUACCUCAAUCUUCCUCCCUUUCCAGCGGUUAUUUCCCUUUGAAUGGGGACUGUUUUAUUCACCUUUAAUUACAGUGCCUAGCAUAGUCCUGUGCUCAGAUAUUUAUUAAAUGAAUAAAUGAAUGUUUUCAGAGAAGCACUACAAAGGAUAUAUACUGAAAGAUAUGCAUAUGUUUUGGAUUUUAUUAAAGUGUUUGAUUUUGUUUCCAAAUUUGGGUUAUAUAGUUAAGUGGCUAUAUUUAGGACAAGAUUUUUUUUAUCAUAAGAUACUUGAAGUCUGAAGUCAUAAUCCCUAUUAAUCUUAUCAUAAUCUUUGAGGUAAAGCUCCAAAUUUAUAAGGCUAUCAAAAAUACGUAAAAAGUCAGGAAGUACAAAAAUUACUAUCUUCCUAAGAAUUCCUGUUCACUGACAAUGUAUUUGUACAGCAUUGUCUUUAAAGUGUUCAUUUCAGCUCUUCUAAAGACCUGAAGGAAUAUUGUGGAUUUUAAAAAUACGUAAUAUAUAUUCUAAACUUUAACUCAUGCUUUCCAUUUUUCUUUUUUGAGCCAUACUAACAGAGCCUUUGUAUAAAGACCAUAGUGUUAAGUUGUUGGCCACAUACCUAAGGAUAGAGUUAUUGUGUGCUACAAACAUGUUUUCACAGACGUCACUGAUUUUAAACCUGAAAGGCUCAGAACUGUAGCAUUUGUUUAGAUAGGGAUGGCAAAUGUGUAGGAGGUGAGAGAGAAAGAUAUCUACAAGUAGCCAAGGGAGAAUAACUAAGUGUUCCUGAGGAAAACUCAGAUAAUUUUCUGUCACAGCUAGUCAGCUUUUAAUUUUUUUCAAUUUCAAUUUUAUUUUAACUGAACUUAGAGUUUGUUUUUCAAUAUAGUAAAUCAUAUAAUCUACUUAAAUUUUUUUAUAUUAUCCCAUUUUUCUCUGUAGUUCCUUUUUAUUUAUAAAAAUUAUUUGUUUACAUUGUCACAUAAUUACAUAUCUGGAGAUUUUCUUAAAUCCCCACCAAUUUGAAGUGAAUUUCUUUUUUUUUUUUUUAAUUUUGUUGAUGUUUACUCAUUCUUGAGAGAGAGAGAGAGAGAGAGAGAGAGACAGACAGACAAAGCAUUAGUGGGGGAAGGGCAGAACAAGAGAGAGACACAGAAUCUGAAGCAGGCUCCAGGCUCUGAGCUGUCGUCACAGAACCCAACGCGGGGUUCGAACUCACAAGCCGUGAGACCAUGACCUGAACUGAAGUCGGAUGCCCAAUCAACUGAGCCACUCAGGUGCCCCUGAAGUGAAUUUCUAUGUAGAGCAGACAUCAUUGUCCUUGUAUCCAAGCACAGUUGAGCCAGUCAUUGCUAGAGCGGUCACUAGAAGCCAAGCUGUUUGAUGAAGUUAGGUAACUUUGAUUAAUCUCUGUACCCCUUGCUAUCUUUGUGACCUUAGACAAGUUAUUUCAUCUUUCUAAAACUCAGCUUUCUUGUGUACAAAAUGGAUGUAAUAAUUAUUUUCUCCAUAGGUUAUAGUGAUUAAAUGAAGUGAUGUUUAUAAAUAUCUGAAAUGUUUAGUACAGUAAGAAUUACUUCUCUUUUCUUCC
Acinonyx jubatus (cheetah) is the source of this 2024-nucleotide long non-coding RNA. RefSeq lists it as uncharacterized. Lineage: Eukaryota; Metazoa; Chordata; Mammalia; Carnivora; Felidae. The record is from RefSeq and is a predicted model, not a curated record. The transcript has 3 exons.